CAUGCGCCCUUCGGGGGAAAGCCGGGGACCGUAAGGCCUGGCGCGAUUGGAUGAGCCCAUGUCGGAUUAGCUAGUUGGCGGGUAACGCCCACCAAGGCGACGAUCCGUAGCUGGUCUGAGAGGAUGAUCAGCCACACUGGAACUGAGACACGGUCCAGACUCCUACGGGAGGCAGCAGUAGGGAAUAUUGGACAAUGGGCGCAAGCCUGAUCCAGCCAUGCCGCGUGAGUGAAGAAGGCCCUCGGGUUGUAAAGCUCUUUUGUCCGGAAAGAAAAGCACUGGGUUAAUACCCCGGUGUCCUGACGGGUACCGGAAGAAUAAGCACCGGCCAACUUCGUG
This 339-nucleotide ribosomal RNA is filed under the name uncultured bacterium. RNAcentral describes it as "bacterial SSU rRNA". It matches the Rfam family "Bacterial small subunit ribosomal RNA", at positions 172 to 507 of the family's 1533-position model. The record is from RNAcentral.